This 440-nucleotide ribosomal RNA is filed under the name uncultured bacterium. RNAcentral's name for it is "bacterial SSU rRNA". It matches the Rfam family "Bacterial small subunit ribosomal RNA", at positions 355 to 786 of the family's 1533-position model. The record is from RNAcentral.
UGGGGAAUUUUGGACAAUGGGCGCAAGCCUGAUCCAGCUAUUCCGCGUGUGGGAUGAAGGCCCUCGGGUUGUAAAACCCUGUUGUUAGAGAAGAAAGUGCGUGAGAGUAACUGUUCACGUUUCGACGGUAUCUAACCAGAAAGCCACGGCUAACUACGUGCCAGCAGCCGCGGUAAUACGUAGGUGGCAAGCGUUAUCCGGAUUUAUUGGGCGUAAAGGGAACGCAGGCGGUCUUUUAAGUCUGAUGUGAAAGCCUUCGGCUUAACCGGAGUAGUGCAUUGGAAACUGGGAGACUUGAGUGCAGAAGAGGAGAGUGGAACUCCAUGUGUAGCGGUGAAAUGCGUAGAUAUAUGGAAGAACACCAGUGGCGAAAGCGGCUCUCUGGUCUGUAACUGACGCUGAGGUUCGAAAGCGUGGGGUAGCAAACAGGAUUAGAUACC